This 1298-nucleotide long non-coding RNA is filed under the name Sus scrofa (pig). Its description in RNAcentral is "lncRNA (ENSSSCG00025052247.1)". Lineage: Eukaryota; Metazoa; Chordata; Mammalia; Artiodactyla; Suidae. The record is from RNAcentral.
AGAGGACGCAGGCGCAGUUGUGGAAGUACUGCUUCAGGUGCUGGGCUGAAUCCUGCGAACCAAGGCAGUUUUUGCAGUUGGACCUUGUGAGCGCUGCGGUGGCAGUAGACGCCCAUGCUCCCCGAGCUUCGGGAAGAAGUUUUUACUUAGCAGUUAUAAAUGGAGACGGAGUAUCUUCAAAAGAAUCUUGGGACAUGUCUAACUCAAGGGCUUGCAGAAGUGGCAAGGAUGCGGCCAGUGGAUCCAAUAGAAUAUUUGGCAUUGUGGAUUUACAAGUAUAAAGAAAAUGUGACCAGGGAGCAACUGAGACAAGAGGAAAUGGCCCAGUUGGAGCAUGAAAGACAAAUAGCUCUGAUGGAGCAGGAAAUGAUGGAGAGACUUAAAGCAGAAGAGCUCCUAUUUCAGCAGGAAUUGAGAAUGAACAUGGAAAAUAUAGCUAAGGGUGAAGAUACCUUACAUGGAGAGGACAGAGCCGACUCAGGCAAAACACUGGCUGAAAUCAGUGAUCGUUACGGGGCACCUAACUUGAGCAGAGUGGAAGAACUUGAUGAACCAAUGCUAUCUGAUGUUGCAUUAAACAUUGAUCAAGAUUUGUAGAAUCAACCAACCUAAGAACAAUAAAUUUUUCUUGUUUCAAAUUUCAAAGUGUGAGGUCCCCAAACAUAUUCCACCCCCAAACUUGAAUUCUACUUUUUUCCCCUCUGAAGACAGCUUUGUAAAUGGGCUUCAAGGGUGGUCUUAAAAUAUUGUUUUGGAUUUCUCAAUGUCACUAGUUACUGUAUGAUUCCAUUGAGAGGUCGGGAGAGAGCAACUAAAAGGGGCAGUGGGAGACAAGCUGAAAAGAAUGUGAGUAUCUGUGUGAGAACAGAUUGCCUAAGAUGGAAGUUACUGGUCUGUGAGAAGUGAAAGAGGCUGCCACUACGUAGUGCUCAGGAAUAUUCAACAUGCUUUAGAUAUGGUGUUUCCUCCUAUGAGAACACUUCAAAGAUUUCCCCAGUUUGCUGGGAAGCGAUGCUCUAGAGUACCACUUAAUCCAUGCUUAUUGAUGGGACUGUGAUGGGGAGGGAUGGAACGUACCUGGGUACAGAGAAGCAGCAUUUCUUCUUGAACAAUCAUUGGGCAAAGUUGCUGUGUUGAAAGGAAGAUCUCACUGGAUACAGGCCCUGCAGUGUGUUCCCUUCAGUAGAUACUGGAUGGUCUGCAGACCCUGACUGUACUCUUGGCCUCUUGGAAGUUUCAGGGCUAGCCUUAAACUUUAAGGAGAACUUCACUUCCUUUAUAAAAUUCUUCCAAAUCUA